Molecule: long non-coding RNA, 399 nt
Organism: Zingiber officinale
Lineage: Eukaryota; Viridiplantae; Streptophyta; Magnoliopsida; Zingiberales; Zingiberaceae
Exons: 4
Source: RefSeq, a predicted model, not a curated record
ACCGCAACUCCAGUUGCCUUAGUCGCCGCAGCAACCUCGCUAGCAGGCUUCUUAUCCCUCACAGCAUCUGCCUCCGGAUCCGACGCCGCAGGCGGCGGGGGCUGGUAACUCCCAGAUGCUUCCACCACUUCCGGAGAAGAAAGGAGGCAAGCAGAGGUUGCUCGUAUCAGGGAGAAAUACCCUGAUAGAAUUCCUGUGAUUGUGGAGAAAGCUAAGAGAAGUGACAUACCAGACAUUGACAAAAAGAAGAAGUUGAUGGUGUGAAAGUUCUUCAACUAGAACUCCAGUUGGAGCGGCAAUUCAAGUAAUCUUUUAGUUGCUUUGAUACUUUGUCUCUUGUAGUUCAAAUCAUAUAUAUUUAAAACGUACCAAAGUAUGCUUUAACAGUUUUUAAUAAUG